This 567-nucleotide ribosomal RNA is filed under the name uncultured organism. Its description in RNAcentral is "bacterial SSU rRNA". It matches the Rfam family "Bacterial small subunit ribosomal RNA", at positions 861 to 1439 of the family's 1533-position model. The record is from RNAcentral.
UAAGCAUUCCGCCUGGGGAGUACGGCCGCAAGGUUAAAACUCAAACGAAUUGACGGGGCCCCGCACAAGCAGCGGAGCGUGUGGUUUAAUUCGAUGCUACACGAAGAACCUUACCUGGGUUUGACAUGUAGGUGGUAGUGAAUCGAAAGGUGAACGACCCUUCGGGGAGCCUACACAGGUGCUGCAUGGCAGUCGUCAGCUCGUGCCGUGAGGUGUCGGGUUAAGUCCCGUAACGAGCGCAACCCUUGCUCCUAGUUACAAGUGUCUAGGGGGACUGCCGGCGGAAAGCCGGAGGAAGGUGGGCGAUGACGUCAAGUCAGCAUGGCCCUUAUAUCCAGGGCUACACACACGCUACAAUGGUCGGUACAAAGGGCAGCGAAACCGCGAGGCGGAGCGAAUCCGAGAAAAGCCGAUCGUAGUUCGGAUAGCAGGCUGCAACCCGCCUGCUUGAAGCUGGAGUUGCUAGUAACCGCGCGUCAGCCAUAGCGCGCUCCAUACGUUCCCGGGGCUGUACACACCGCCCGUCACGUCAUGGGAGUCGGUAACGCCUGAAGCCGGUAGUCUAAC